RNAcentral lists this ribosomal RNA (490 nucleotides) under uncultured bacterium. Its description in RNAcentral is "partial 16S ribosomal RNA". It matches the Rfam family "Bacterial small subunit ribosomal RNA", at positions 29 to 506 of the family's 1533-position model. The record is from RNAcentral.
AGUGAACGCUGGCGGUAGGCCUAACACAUGCAAGUCGAACGGCAGCACAGUAAGAGCUUGCUCUUACGGGUGGCGAGUGGCGGACGGGUGAGGAAUACAUCGGAAUCUACUUUUUCGUGGGGAUAACGUAGGGAAACUUACGCUAAUACCGCAUACGACCUACGGGUGAAAGCAGGGGAUCUUCGGACCUUGCGCGAUUGAAUGAGCCGAUGUCGGAUUAGCUAGUUGGCGGGGUAAAGGCCCACCAAGGCGACGAUCCGUAGCUGGUCUGAGAGGAUGAUCAGCCACACUGGAACUGAGACACGGUCCAGACUCCUACGGGAGGCAGCAGUGGGGAAUAUUGGACAAUGGGCGCAAGCCUGAUCCAGCCAUACCGCGUGGGUGAAGAAGGCCUUCGGGUUGUAAAGCCCUUUUGUUGGGAAAGAAAAGCAGCAGGUUAAUACCCCGCUGUUCUGACGGUACCCAAAGAAUAAGCACCGGCUAACUUCGU